Molecule: ribosomal RNA, 244 nt
Filed under: uncultured bacterium
Lineage: Bacteria
Description: partial 16S ribosomal RNA
Rfam family: Bacterial small subunit ribosomal RNA
Source: RNAcentral
CGGUAAAGACGCAUGCAGGCGGCCGUCGUUAAGUACUAGAUGUGAAAGAUCCGGGGGCUUAAACCUCGGAAUUGCAUUUGAAACUGGCAGGCUAGAGUCUUGUAGAGGGGGGUAGAAUUUCAGGUGUAGCGGUGAAAUGCGUAGAGAUCUGAAGGAAUACCAGUGGCGAAGGCGGCCCCCUGGACAAAGACUGACGCUCAGAUGCGAAAGCGUGGGGAGCAAACAGGAUUAGAUACCCUGGUAG